GAGUUUGAUCCUGGCUCAGGAUGAACGCUGGCGGCGUGCCUAAUACAUGCAAGUCGAGCGAACAGAUAAGGAGCUUGCUCCUUUGAAGUUAGCGGCGGACGGGUGAGUAACACGUGGGUAACCUACCUAUAAGACUGGGAUAACUUCGGGAAACCGGAGCUAAUACCGGAUAACAUUUAGAACCGCAUGGUUCUAAAGUGAAAGAUGGUUUUGCUAUCACUUAUAGAUGGACCCGCGCCGUAUUAGCUAGUUGGUAAGGUAACGGCUUACCAAGGCGACGAUACGUAGCCGACCUGAGAGGGUGAUCGGCCACACUGGAACUGAGACACGGUCCAGACUCCUACGGGAGGCAGCAGUAGGGAAUCUUCCGCAAUGGGCGAAAGCCUGACGGAGCAACGCCGCGUGAGUGAUGAAGGGUUUCGGCUCGUAAAACUCUGUUAUUAGGGAAGAACAAAUGUGUAAGUAACUGUGCACAUCUUGACGGUACCUAAUCAGAAAGCCACGGCUAACUACGUGCCAGCAG
Molecule: ribosomal RNA, 523 nt
Filed under: uncultured bacterium
Lineage: Bacteria
Description: bacterial SSU rRNA
Rfam family: Bacterial small subunit ribosomal RNA
Source: RNAcentral